GAAAUUUAUGAACCUAGUGGCUCUUCAAUUUCCGGGAAGUCUCAAAGAGAUUCAUCUUCUGCUCUCGAAAUUUAUGAACCUAGUGGCUCUUCAAUUUCCAGGAAGUUUCAAAGAGAUUCAUCUUCUGCUCUUGAAAUUGAUGAACCUAGUGGCUCUUCAAUUUCUGGGAAGUCUCAGAGAGAUCCAUCUUCUGCUCUCGAAAUUGAUGAACCUAGUGGCUCUUCAAUUUCCGCGAAGUCUCAAAGAGAUCCGUCUUCUGCUCUCGAAAUUUAUGAACCUAGUGGCUCUUCAUUUUCCGAGAAGUCUCAAAGAGAUCCAUCUUUUGGUCUCAAAAUGGAUGAACCUAGUGGCUCUUCAAUUUCCGGGAAGUCUCAAAGAGAUCCAUCUUCUGCUCUCGAAAUUAAUGAACCUAGUGGCUCUUCAAUUUCCAAGAAGUCUCAAAGAGAUCCAUCUUCUGCUCUCAAAAUUUAUGAACCUAGUGGCGCUUCAAUUUCCGGGAAGUCUAAAAGAGAUCCAUCUUCUGCUCUCGAAAUUUAUGAACCUAGUGGCUUUACAGAGUUGACAACAUCCAAUGUCAAAAGAUUACUCUACAAAAUGAAAAAUAUUUUCCUACGGUGGCCGUACUUUGAUUGGAUGCAAAUGAUAUUGGUUGUGACUGUAAUAUCAGUCGAUCCUUUGUUUUUCUA
Molecule: long non-coding RNA, 686 nt
Filed under: Citrus x clementina
Lineage: Eukaryota; Viridiplantae; Streptophyta; Magnoliopsida; Sapindales; Rutaceae
Description: Citrus clementina (C. clementina) long non-coding RNA (CCLE_LNC000619)
Source: RNAcentral